GAUGAACGCUGGCGGCGUGCCUAAUACAUGCAAGUCGAGCGAACAGAUGAGGAGCUUGCUCCUCUGACGUUAGCGGCGGACGGGUGAGUAACACGUGGAUAACCUACCUAUAAGACUGGGAUAACUUCGGGAAACCGGAGCUAAUACCGGAUAAUAUAUUGAACCGCAUGGUUCAAUAGUGAAAGACGGUUUUGCUGUCACUUAUAGAUGGAUCCGCGCCGCAUUAGCUAGUUGGUAAGGUAACGGCUUACCAAGGCAACGAUGCGUAGCCGACCUGAGAGAGUGGUCGGCCACACUGGAACUGAGACACGGUCCAGACUCCUACGGGAGGCAGCAGUAGGGAAUCUUCCGCAAUGGGCGAAAGCCUGACGGAGCAACGCCGCGUGAGUGAUGGAGGUCUUCGGAUCGUAAAACUCUGUUAUUAGGGAAGAACAAAUGUGUAAGUAACUAUGCACGUCUUGACGGUACCUAAUCAGAAAGCCACGGCUAACUACGUG
Molecule: ribosomal RNA, 497 nt
Filed under: uncultured bacterium
Lineage: Bacteria
Description: partial 16S ribosomal RNA
Rfam family: Bacterial small subunit ribosomal RNA
Source: RNAcentral